This 66-nucleotide long non-coding RNA is filed under the name Mus musculus (house mouse). RNAcentral describes it as "predicted gene, 56644". Lineage: Eukaryota; Metazoa; Chordata; Mammalia; Rodentia; Muridae. The record is from RNAcentral.
GAGAAACCUUACAAAUGUGAUCAAUGUGGUAAAGCCUUUCCAUACAGUAGUACUCUCCAAGUACAU